GGGAGCUUGCUUCCAAUCGUAGUGGCGAACGGGUGAGUAAUACAGUCGGAACGUACCGUGUAGUGGGGAUAACGUAGCGAAAGUUACGCUAAUACCGCAUACGAUCCACGGAUGAAAGCAGGGGACCUUCGGGCCUUGUGCUAUACGAGCGGCCGAUGUCUGAUUAGCUAGUUGGUGAGGUAAAGGCUCACCAAGGCGACGAUCAGUAGCGGGUCUGAGAGGAUGAUCCGCCACACUGGGACUGAGACACGGCCCAGACUCCUACGGGAGGCAGCAGUGGGGAAUUUUGGACAAUGGGCGCAAGCCUGAUCCAGCCAUGCCGCGUGUCUGAAGAAGGCCUUCGGGUUGUAAAGGACUUUUGUCAGGGAGCAAAACUUACUGGUUAAUACCUGGUGAGGUUGAGAGUACCUGAAGAAUAAGCACCGGCUAACUACGUGCCAGCAGCCGCGGUAAUACGUAGGGUGCAAGCGUUAAUCGGAAUUACUGGGCGUAAAGCGUGC
Molecule: ribosomal RNA, 500 nt
Filed under: uncultured bacterium
Lineage: Bacteria
Description: bacterial SSU rRNA
Rfam family: Bacterial small subunit ribosomal RNA
Source: RNAcentral